This 253-nucleotide ribosomal RNA is filed under the name uncultured bacterium. RNAcentral describes it as "partial 16S ribosomal RNA". It matches the Rfam family "Bacterial small subunit ribosomal RNA", at positions 524 to 776 of the family's 1533-position model. The record is from RNAcentral.
UACGUAGGGUGCGAGCGUUAAUCGGAAUUACUGGGCGUAAAGCGCACGCAGGCGGCCUUUUAAGUUUGACGUGAAAGCUCCUGGCUUAACCGGGAGUGGUCGUUGAAGACUGGAAGGCUUGAGACGAUGAGAGGGGUGCAGAAUUCCCGGUGUAGUGGUGGAAUGCGUAGAUAUCGGGAGGAAUACCAGUGGCGAAGGCGGCACCCUGGCAUCGGUCUGACGCUCAUGUGCGAAGGCGUGGGGAGCGAACGGG